Molecule: ribosomal RNA, 327 nt
Filed under: uncultured fungus
Lineage: Eukaryota; Fungi
Description: SSU rRNA
Rfam family: Eukaryotic small subunit ribosomal RNA
Source: RNAcentral
CGACCUGCUAAAUAGUUGGACGAAUCCUUCGGGAUUUGAUUCUUUUUUUAAACUUCUUAGAGGGACUAUCGGCGCUUUAGCCGAUGGAAGUUCGAGGCAAUAACAGGUCUGUGAUGCCCUUAGAUGUUCUGGGCCGCACGCGCGCUACACUGAUACGUUCAUCGAGCUUACAACCUUGGUUGAGAGGCCUGGGUAAUCUUUUGAAACCGUAUCGUGCUGGGGAUAGAUUAUUGUAAUUUUUAAUCUUCAACGAGGAAUUCCUAGUAAACGCUGGUCAUCAGCCAGCAUUGAUUACGUCCCUGCCCUUUGUACACACCGCCCGUCGCU